Molecule: ribosomal RNA, 259 nt
Filed under: uncultured bacterium
Lineage: Bacteria
Description: partial 16S ribosomal RNA
Rfam family: Bacterial small subunit ribosomal RNA
Source: RNAcentral
GCAAGUCGAGGGACAGGAUUAAGGAAAGCUUGCUUUUUAUAGAUGGAGACGGGCGCACGGGUGAGUAACGCGUAUGCAACCUACCUUACAUUAGGGGAUAGCCCAGAGAAAUGUGGAUUAAUACCGCAUAAUAUAUUUGAAUAGCAUGGUAUAAAUAUUAAAACUCCGGUGAUGUAAGAUGGGCAUGCGGAGGAUUAGUUAGUUGGUAAGGUAACGGCUUACCAAGACAAUGAUGAGUAGGGGGUCUGAGAGGAUGGUC